AGCCGCCCACCCAUUUUCCCUAUUCUUCUUCCCGUCCUGCCGCAGCCAACCGCAGUCAGCCGCCCCAUCCGUUCGCACAGCAACUGCCGUCGGCCAUCUCCAUCUUCUCUUUUCCUCUCCGUUCCGUCCAAACCCAGCCGGACGUCGCUGCAACCGUCGGCCGCCAUCUCUGUUCGCGAAGCAAGGCCGCCGCGUGAACCUGUAACCGCCGGCUGUCUCCCCUCUCCUUUCUCCUCUGUUUUCAGCCCAGCCGCCGCCGAUUCCUUCUCCUCCGUUGUCUGCACUGCCGCGCGACUCUCCGGCCAUCUGUAUACGGUCUCUCCGCCGCACGUCAUCUCUUCGCAAAGCCACUGCUCGAUUUCUUUCGCGAAGAUUUGGGUAAGUUGCAAAAAGAUUCACAUUGGGUUGAAUUUAAAUGACUGAUGCGUUGAAGGGAAUUAUUGAGAAAUUGUCUUAAUGUUUAGGUUCGUUCUUCAUAGACUUCAACGUGGUUAAGGAGCUUAACAAAUUUGAAGGUAAGGAUUUUCUACUGGACUCACUUAUGAUUGUGAAUUGUAUGUCUGAAUGAUUAUCUUUGACUGAGUAAAGAUGUUGAGAUGAUACUUAUGAAUGUACACUGUGGAUUGACUGAAAAUAUAUAUAUAUGCAUAGGAAUUGAAGUAGACUUAAUGUUGAAUGCAUAUUGUGAUUGUCAUGGAAUAUAUAUAUAUGUGUGUGGAUGUGGACAGGACGAAAAUUGUAGAUUAUGCUUGUAUGAGAUGCAGAUGCGAUCUUGUGAUUGUCGUUUAGAUUGGGUGUCGUUACGCUAAAGUAUGACUGUGUGCUGGUGAUCUGAGGGGUGUAUUGACUGUAUAGUUUGAUUGACUGAUGUAUUAGUAUGUUAUUGACAGACAUAUGACCUAAGUGAGAUAAGUUGACUGUUAGGACGUUGAGAGAAAGAACUCUAUGUUUUGAAGUAUCUGAAAAAUGGAUUGAAUGGAAUGAGGGGAUAAAUUGUUAGGUUGUAUUGGGAUGAUUACCUUGUAGGUGUCCCACGGGAUCACCAAUUUAUUUUGCACCUUCGGGAGCAUUUGACUGAUAUGUGUUCUGCAGAACACUUGACUGAUAUGUACGUCCCUCGGGGCGUCAGACUGAUAUGUACGUCCUUCGGGGCGUUAGACUGAGAUGUGUAUCCUACGGGAUCACAAGACUGCGACUGUACAGGGUGUCCCAAUAGAACUUUAACAAUUUAUUUUUCCCCUGACGAGACCAGUAGAGGGUCUCUUACUGAGUAUUUAAAAUACUCACCCUUCUUAUGUUUAAUUUUCAGGCAAAGGUAAUAAAGGCGGCAAACCGGCGAGGGGCAGGAAGGAAGCGUGAUGCCAUAGGAAACGUGUAAUUGCUUCCGCUUAUUUAAGAUUGAUUUGAAAUUUAGUUCACAAACGUUUGUUACAAACAGUAUUAUUUUAUGUUUUCUUGAAUGUUUAAAAAUCAGGCCUGACUUGAAG
Molecule: long non-coding RNA, 1487 nt
Filed under: Cucumis sativus (cucumber)
Lineage: Eukaryota; Viridiplantae; Streptophyta; Magnoliopsida; Cucurbitales; Cucurbitaceae
Description: long non-coding RNA (CSAT_LNC003148)
Source: RNAcentral